UGGGGAAUAUUGCACAAUGGGCGCAAGCCUGAUGCAGCCAUGCCGCGUGUAUGAAGAAGGCCUUCGGGUUGUAAAGUCCUUUCAGCGGGGAGGAAGGCGUUAAGGUUAAUAACCUUGGCGAUUGACGUUACCCGCAGAAGAAGCACCGGCUAACUCCGUGCCAGCAGCCGCGGUAAUACGGAGGGUGCAAGCGUUAAUCGGAAUUACUGGGCGUAAAGCGCACGCAGGCGGUCUGUCAAGUCGGAUGUGAAAUCCCCGGGCUCAACCUGGGAACGGCAUGCGAAACUGGAGGCUAGAGUCGUGUAGGGGGGGGUAGAAUUCCAGGGGUAGCGGUGAAAUGCGUAGAGAUCUGGAGGAAUACCGGGGGCAAAGGCGGCCCCCUGGACAAAGACUGACGCUCAGGUGCGAAAGCGUGGGGAGCAAACAGG
This 428-nucleotide ribosomal RNA is filed under the name Chloroflexota bacterium. Its description in RNAcentral is "Chloroflexi bacterium partial 16S ribosomal RNA". It matches the Rfam family "Bacterial small subunit ribosomal RNA", at positions 355 to 776 of the family's 1533-position model. Lineage: Bacteria; Bacillati; Chloroflexota. The record is from RNAcentral.